CGGGUUGUGGCUCAGUGGUAGAGCGCAUGCCUAGCAUGUGUGAAGCGCUGGGUUUGAUUCUCAGCACCGCAU
This is a non-coding RNA of Ictidomys tridecemlineatus (thirteen-lined ground squirrel), 72 nucleotides long. NCBI's taxonomy places the organism in Eukaryota, Metazoa, Chordata, Mammalia, Rodentia, Sciuridae. The record is from Rfam.